GAUGUUAGUGUCUGCAGAACAUAUCUUUGUUUUAUUCCAAGCUGGUCUUACACUAAUAUCUAUCAUUUUUAGAAACUAAUUUACACAAUCUGCAUGUAUCUCUUCUGUUAGCCACUCUGGACAGGAAUCCUCCACCAUGUCUGUGGUUGUCACACCUUCUCUGCCAUAAUUUGCCAUCAAGACCAUCUUGAAGAUUUCAGCCACAAGGAAUACAUUAAAGGUCCCAUAUUAUGCUUUUUCUGGUUUUAUAUGCCCUUUAGUGUGUUUUCCAAGUGUCCUGUGCAUGUUUAGACACAUCUAUUUGCAAAAAUUCAAAGUCCGCGGAAACGCAGCUUCUCCUACCUCCUCCUGUUAGCUGUAGCAUUAGCUGCAUGUAACGCUCGGUUCUAGCCCCCCUCGAUAAAAAUUUGUCAGUCCGACGUCAUUGUCAGUGUGAGAUCACUGAUCUAAGCCCAUUGGCUCGUUGUGGCAAGCCCAGCAGCUCAUGUUGCACGCCCGUUAACUUCUGUAGCACGCCCACGAUAUGCCGUAGCCUGCGGUAGCACAGUAGUGCUAAGGUGCUAAUGUUUAUGCUCCCCUCAGACGGAGCCAGUGGCUGCAUUCCCAAUAUGGUAAAAGGGGCGGGACAUUUCCGAGAACCGUGCUGAGCAACUGACCAAUUACGGCAGAGCCGACAGGCCGACCAAUCAGAUCAGACUUGGCACACGUGGGGACUCUGAACGUGGGCACUUCAGAGCCUUAGAGAGAGUCAGAAGCGAGCCGGUGCAUGGAGCGACAGUACAUGAAAACAGACACUUUUUUAUAACUUUAGCUAUUGUGAACAUACUUUAGUAGGUACAUAGAUUAAAUAUAUGAACCCCAAAAAGGGUAUAAUAUGGGCUCUUUAAGGAGACGUCAGGAGCACACAAAGCUCUUCUGGGCAUUGUACAUCACAAGAAAUUCCUGAAGGAUGCUGAGAAGUUCUUGACCUUCAGGUAAUGUAGUUUGCUAGUUUGUAGAAUACAAUAAAAUAAAUUGUUAGGCCAUGUGUUAAGUAUGCGUUACUUUUCCUUUAGAUCUACUGCAGACUUUCCACAGCCACCUGCUGAUGUAUGCCAGCAAACGGUUUGCAUUUUCACCGCCAGUGUAUGAAGCUCGAGUCCUUCUUGUGGCCAUUGACUACAACUUCCAUAGGAAGAGGCCAUACAGGAUUUCAAAAGAUGGCAAGAAAAUCUAUAAUAGGCUGUACAACAAAACAGCCAAACGCUGGAAGGUGUAUGCUGUCAAGAGCCCAGAGACCUAUGGAUACAUCAGGGAAUUGCAGGCCAGGAUUGUGUCGAGGAGGCUCUCUUCAGGAGCAGGGAUGCCCCUGACAAGGGACCAGCGUCCAGACGACCCUCGGAAGCUUGGCACCUAAUGGGGCUACUGGGGCUUCUGGUAGCAAAGCCUCAAGUGGGCACUCGAGGAACUGCAUUUUGUUUUUGCAGUUCCCAAAUGGCUUAAUUUCUCAACACCAUGAGGUUGCUGCUUGGUAAAAGCUAAACAGGCGGGGUUUUUUUUGUGUGUGAACUCAAUUAUCUCAUUGAAUCCCCACUGUUGAACCGAGCACAAAGAGCUCUUCUUAUCUGCAGAGCAUGUUUUGAAGUGCAGCACCAGAUGUUGACUGCUGUGACAGCAGCUCAGUUAAUAGUCUGUCACAUUUUGAACAAACCUCCUUUUAAAGAGCCAAUCUGCACAAUACAAUCCUUUCCUUAUCUUUAAGUCUUUAACACCAAAUUCCUUAUUUUCUGUAGACAAUGAAAGACAAUGCAUGGAGCAAUCAAUGAAUGGACAUGCAUCAUCCAUGUGGACACUUUAUAGACCAUAAACCUGCAACAUGGUCACAAGUCUUUAGGUUUGGUUGCACAAACACUUCUUUCCAUUUUCUAUAAAACAUUUAAGGCAAAUAACCGAGUUUAUUUGAAGAGCUGUUGUCAUCAUUUAAUUGCUGGAGGACAAUAUGAGAGAAAAAUAAGCAGGAUGGACAAAAUUAACGAGAAGCACAGAGUAGAGCUGGAGCAGCAACACGAGGAGCCAAAGGAACAUAAAGAGACAUUUAGCCUCAGUUUGAAAAAGAUUGGACGAUGUCAUCAAGAUCAAUACAGUAAUGUAGCAAACAUUCUGCAUACAGAAACACACACAGACACACAGACACACAGACACACAGACACACACACACACACACACACACACACACACACACACACACACACACACACACACACACACACACACACACACACACACACACACACACACACACACACACACACACACACACACACACACACACACACACA
Labrus mixtus (cuckoo wrasse) is the source of this 2318-nucleotide long non-coding RNA. RefSeq lists it as uncharacterized. NCBI's taxonomy places the organism in Eukaryota, Metazoa, Chordata, Actinopteri, Labriformes, Labridae. The transcript has 2 exons. The record is from RefSeq and is a predicted model, not a curated record.